CUGUCGUACGAUACUGUAUUAGUGUUGGAAUGAUGGGAAUUUAAACCUCUUCCAGAGUAUCAAUUGGAGGGCAAGUCUGGUGCCAGCAGCCGCGGUAAUUCCAGCUCCAAUAGCGUAUAUUAAAAUUGUUGCAGUUAAAAAGCUCGUAGUUGAAUUUCUGCUGCAUUACAUUUCUCUUGCUGAAUUUGGUUUUGCGGCCUAAUUCCGGUUGAAUUUUUCUUUCCUGAUGAAUAAUUUGAUAAAAAUAAAGUGCUCGAACCAAGCUUUUGCCUUGAAUAAUUUAUCAAGGAAGAAAAAAUUAAGAAUUUGGUUCUUUUUUUUUGGUUUUUUGUACCAAACUAAUGGUUGAUAAAA
This 354-nucleotide ribosomal RNA is filed under the name Theileria buffeli. RNAcentral's name for it is "partial 18S ribosomal RNA". It matches the Rfam family "Eukaryotic small subunit ribosomal RNA", at positions 485 to 877 of the family's 1831-position model. Lineage: Eukaryota; Apicomplexa; Aconoidasida; Piroplasmida; Theileriidae. The record is from RNAcentral.